RNAcentral lists this ribosomal RNA (477 nucleotides) under uncultured bacterium. RNAcentral's name for it is "partial 16S ribosomal RNA". It matches the Rfam family "Bacterial small subunit ribosomal RNA", at positions 28 to 507 of the family's 1533-position model. The record is from RNAcentral.
GAUUAACGCUGGCGGCGUGCAUAACACAUGCAAGUCGAACGAUGAAACUUAACUGAUUUCUUCGGAAUGAUUUUAAGUGGAUUAGUGGCGGACGGGUGAGUAAUGCGUGAGUAACCUGCCUUGGAGAAGGGGAUAGCCUUUGGAAACGAAGAAUAAUACCCUAUGAUAUGAUAAUAUCUCAUGAUAUUAUCAUCAAAGAUUUAUCGCUCUAAGAUGGACUUGCGUCUGAUUAGUUAGUUGGUGAGGUAACAGCUCACCAAGGCAGCGAUCAGUAGCCGGCUUGAGAGAGUGUACGGCCACAUUGGGACUGAGACACGGCCCAGACUCCUACGGGAGGCAGCAGUGGGGAAUUUUGCACAAUGGGGGAAACCCUGAUGCAGCGACGCCGCGUGAUUUAGAAGGCCUUCGGGUUGUAAAAAUCUUUUGUAUGGGAAGAAAAUGACAGUACCAUACGAAUAAGGACCGGCUAAUUACGUG